UGGGGCUAUGCUGGAACUGGUAGACAAUACGGCCUUAGAUUCCGUAGCUUAAAUGCGUGGGAGUUCGAGUCUCCCUAGCCCCACCAA
RNAcentral lists this transfer RNA (87 nucleotides) under Escherichia phage JLBYU43. RNAcentral's name for it is "tRNA-Leu". It matches the Rfam family "tRNA". From Rfam's summary of the family: Transfer RNA (tRNA) molecules are approximately 80 nucleotides in length. Their secondary structure includes four short double-helical elements and three loops (D, anti-codon, and T loops). Further hydrogen bonds mediate the characteristic L-shaped molecular structure. tRNAs have two regions of fundamental functional importance: the anti-codon, which is responsible for specific mRNA codon recognition, and the 3' end, to which the tRNAs corresponding amino acid is attached (by aminoacyl-tRNA synthetases). tRNAs cope with the degeneracy of the genetic code in two manners: having more than one tRNA (with a specific anti-codon) for a particular amino acid; and 'wobble' base-pairing, i.e. permitting non-standard base-pairing at the 3rd anti-codon position. Lineage: Duplodnaviria; Heunggongvirae; Uroviricota; Caudoviricetes; Demerecviridae. The record is from RNAcentral.